This 254-nucleotide ribosomal RNA is filed under the name uncultured bacterium. RNAcentral's name for it is "partial 16S ribosomal RNA". It matches the Rfam family "Bacterial small subunit ribosomal RNA", at positions 524 to 776 of the family's 1533-position model. The record is from RNAcentral.
UACGUAGGGUGCGAGCGUUAAUCGGAAUUACUGGGCGUAAAGCGUGCGCAGGCGGCUUCGCAAGUCAGACGUGAAAUCCCCGGGCUUAACCUGGGAAUGGCGUUUGAAACUACGGAGCUGGAGUGUGGCAGAGGGAGGUAGAAUUCCACGUGUAGCGGUGAAAUGCGUAGAUAUGUGGAGGAAUACCGAUGGCGAAGGCAGCCCUCCUGGGCCAAUACUGACGCUCAUGCACGAAAGCGUGGGGAGCAAACAGG